UACGGAGGGUGCUAGCGUUGUUCGGAAUCACUGGGCGUAAAGCGUGCGCAGGCGGUUUUGUAAGCCAGAUGUGAAAUCCCCGGGCUUAACCUGGGAAUGGCAUUUGGGACUGCAAGGCUCGAGUGCGGCAGAGGAGACUGGAAUUCCUGGUGUAGCAGUGAAAUGCGUAGAUAUCAGGAGGAACACCGAUGGCGAAGGCAGGUCUCUGGGCUGACACUGACGCUCAUGCACGAAAGCGUGGGGAGCAAACAGG
RNAcentral lists this ribosomal RNA (253 nucleotides) under uncultured bacterium. Its description in RNAcentral is "partial 16S ribosomal RNA". It matches the Rfam family "Bacterial small subunit ribosomal RNA", at positions 524 to 776 of the family's 1533-position model. The record is from RNAcentral.